This 687-nucleotide ribosomal RNA is filed under the name Pseudomonadota bacterium. Its description in RNAcentral is "bacterial SSU rRNA". It matches the Rfam family "Bacterial small subunit ribosomal RNA", at positions 40 to 722 of the family's 1533-position model. The record is from RNAcentral. Lineage: Bacteria; Pseudomonadati; Pseudomonadota.
CGGAAUGCUUUACACAUGCAAGUCGAACGGCAGCACGGGGGCAACCCUGGUGGCGAGUGGCGAACGGGUGAGUAAUAUAUCGGAACGUGCCCAGUCGUGGGGGAUAACGUAGCGAAAGUUACGCUAAUACCGCAUACGAUCUACGGAUGAAAGCGGGGGAUCGCAAGACCUCGCGCGAUUGGAGCGGCCGAUAUCAGAUUAGGUAGUUGGUGGGGUAAAGGCUCACCAAGCCAACGAUCUGUAGCUGGUCUGAGAGGACGACCAGCCACACUGGGACUGAGACACGGCCCAGACUCCUACGGGAGGCAGCAGUGGGGAAUUUUGGACAAUGGACGCAAGUCUGAUCCAGCCAUUCCGCGUGCAGGACGAAGGCCUUCGGGUUGUAAACUGCUUUUGUACGGAACGAAAAAGCUCUUACUAAUACUAGGAGUCCAUGACGGUACCGUAAGAAUAAGCACCGGCUAACUACGUGCCAGCAGCCGCGGUAAUACGUAGGGUGCGAGCGUUAAUCGGAAUUACUGGGCGUAAAGCGUGCGCAGGCGGUUAUAUAAGACAGAUGUGAAAUCCCCGGGCUCAACCUGGGAACUGCAUUUGUGACUGUAUAGCUAGAGUGCGGCAGAGGGGGAUGGAAUUCCGCGUGUAGCAGUGAAAUGCGUAGAUAUGCGGAGGAACACCGAUGGCGAAGGC